UACGUAGGGGGCAAGCGUUGUCCGGAAUCAUUGGGCGUAAAGAGCGUGUAGGCGGCCCGGUAAGUCCGCUGUGAAAGUCCAGGGCUCAACCCUGGGAUGCCGGUGGAUACUGUCGGGCUCGAGUCCGGAAGAGGAGUGUGGAAUUCCUGGUGUAGCGGUGAAAUGCGCAGAUAUCAGGAGGAACACCAAUGGCGAAGGCAGCACUCUGGGACGUGACUGACGCUGAGGCGCGAAAGCGUGGGGAGCAAACAGG
Molecule: ribosomal RNA, 253 nt
Filed under: uncultured bacterium
Lineage: Bacteria
Description: partial 16S ribosomal RNA
Rfam family: Bacterial small subunit ribosomal RNA
Source: RNAcentral